GGGAGUUUGGUCUAGUGGUAUGAUUCUCGCUUCGGGUGCGAGAGACCGCGAGUUCGAUUCUCGUAACUCCCC
RNAcentral lists this transfer RNA (72 nucleotides) under Pleodorina starrii. It matches the Rfam family "tRNA". Rfam says of the family: Transfer RNA (tRNA) molecules are approximately 80 nucleotides in length. Lineage: Eukaryota; Viridiplantae; Chlorophyta; Chlorophyceae; Chlamydomonadales; Volvocaceae. The record is from Rfam by way of RNAcentral.